This is a non-coding RNA of Zootermopsis nevadensis, 45 nucleotides long. NCBI's taxonomy places the organism in Eukaryota, Metazoa, Arthropoda, Insecta, Blattodea, Termopsidae. The record is from Rfam.
AAAACGGCCCUUUUAAGGGCCCCACAAAGCUCUGAGGAGUUACUU